Molecule: ribosomal RNA, 301 nt
Filed under: uncultured Chloroflexota bacterium
Lineage: Bacteria; Bacillati; Chloroflexota
Description: bacterial SSU rRNA
Rfam family: Bacterial small subunit ribosomal RNA
Source: RNAcentral
GACGAACGCUGGCGGCGUGCCUUACCCAUGCAAGUCGAACGGGGGAGCAAUCCCCAGUGGCAGACGGCUGAGUAACACGUGAGUACCUACCCAACGUUGGGGGAUAGCCGUCCGAAAGGGCGGGUAAUACCGCGUAAGAUCCCUUCGGGGAUGAGAGCAGAGAUGCGGCGUUGGAGGGGCUCGCGGCCCAUCAGGUAGUAGGUGGGGUGAUGGCCUACCUAGCCGAUGACGGGUAGCUGGUCUGAGAGGAUGAUCAGCCAGACUGGGACUGAGAGACGGCCCAGACUCCUACGGGUGGCAG